Acyrthosiphon pisum (pea aphid) is the source of this 323-nucleotide long non-coding RNA. RefSeq lists it as uncharacterized. The record is from RefSeq and is a predicted model, not a curated record. The transcript is spliced from 2 exons. Lineage: Eukaryota; Metazoa; Arthropoda; Insecta; Hemiptera; Aphididae.
GGUGAUAAUUCGGCAUCUACCGUUAUUAAGAGACCAUCAACCCCAAAACCCAUAGACUAUUAAUUGCUGUGGAUAUUCACUCAAGAAAGAUUGAGUAGGCCAAACACAAUGCCUCAGUUUAUGGCGUGUAUCACAAGAUUGGAUUCAAAGUUGUUGAUUUUUUCAAACUGGUGAAUAUGAUAAAAGUUUAUGUCAUUGUCAUGUCACCUUCAUGGUGUAGGUCGAGCUACAAAAAGAUAUCCACCAUUGGUGAUUUUUUUAGAUAAAAUUUUGUAGGUGGGAAGUAAAAUUGCACCAAAAAUAAAGUUACAUUUACCCAAGAA